Molecule: small nuclear RNA, 108 nt
Filed under: Mesocricetus auratus (golden hamster)
Lineage: Eukaryota; Metazoa; Chordata; Mammalia; Rodentia; Cricetidae
Source: RNAcentral
CUGCUCACUUCAGCAGCACAUAUACUAAAAAUUAGAAUGAUACAGAGAAUAUUAGCAUGGCCCCUGCACAAGGAUGACAUGCAAAUUCAUGAAGCGUUCCAUAUUUUN